GAUGAACGCUGGCGGCGUGCCUAAUACAUGCAAGUCGAGCGAACGGACGAGAAGCUUGCUUCUCUGAUGUUAGCGGCGGACGGGUGAGUAACACGUGGAUAACCUACCUAUAAGACUGGGAUAACUUCGGGAAACCGGAGCUAAUACCGGAUAAUAUUUUGAACCGCAUGGUUCAAAAGUGAAAGACGGUCUUGCUGUCACUUAUAGAUGGAUCCGCGCUGCAUUAGCUAGUUGGUAAGGUAACGGCUUACCAAGGCAACGAUGCAUAGCCGACCUGAGAGGGUGAUCGGCCACACUGGAACUGAGACACGGUCCAGACUCCUACGGGAGGCAGCAGUAGGGAAUCUUCCGCAAUGGGCGAAAGCCUGACGGAGCAACGCCGCGUGAGUGAUGAAGGUCUUCGGAUCGUAAAACUCUGUUAUUAGGGAAGAACAUAUGUGUAAGUAACUGUGCACAUCUUGACGGUACCUAAUCAGAAAGCCACGGCUAACUACGUGCCAGCAGCCGCGGUAAUACGUAGGUGGCAAGCGUUAUCCGGAAUUAUUUGGGCGUAAAGCGCGCGUAGGCGGUUUUUUAAGUCUGAUGUGGAAGCCCACGGCUCAACUGUGGAGGGUCAUUGGAAACUGGAAAACUUGAGUGCAGAAGAGGAAAGUGGAAUUCCAUGUGUAGCGGUGAAAUGCGCAGAGAUAUGGAGGAACACCAGUGGCGAAGGCGACUUUCUGGUCUGUAACUGACGCUGAUGUGCGAAAGCGUGGGGAUCAAACAGGAUUAGAUACCCUGGUAGUCCACGCCGUAAACGAUGAGUGCUAAGUGUUAGGGGGUUUCCGCCCCUUAGUGCUGCAGCUAACGCAUUAAGCACUCCGCCUGGGGAGUACGACCGCAAGGUUGAAACUCAAAGGAAUUGACGGGGACCCGCACAAGCGGUGGAGCAUGUGGUUUAAUUCGAAGCAACGCGAAGAACCUUACCAAAUCUUGACAUCCUUUGACAACUCUAGAGAUAGAGCCUUCCCCUUCGGGGGACAAAGUGACAGGUGGUGCAUGGUUGUCGUCAGCUCGUGUCGUGAGAUGUUGGGUUAAGUCCCGCAACGAGCGCAACCCUUAAGCUUAGUUGCCAUCAUUAAGUUGGGCACUCUAAGUUGACUGCCGGUGACAAACCGGAGGAAGGUGGGGAUGACGUCAAAUCAUCAUGCCCCUUAUGAUUUGGGCUACACACGUGCUACAAUGGACAAUACAAAGGGCAGCGAAACCGCGAGGUCAAGCAAAUCCCAUAAAGUUGUUCUCAGUUCGGAUUGUAGUCUGCAACUCGACUACAUGAAGCUGGAAUCGCUAGUAAUCGUAGAUCAGCAUGCUACGGUGAAUACGUUCCCGGGUCU
Molecule: ribosomal RNA, 1373 nt
Filed under: uncultured bacterium
Lineage: Bacteria
Description: bacterial SSU rRNA
Rfam family: Bacterial small subunit ribosomal RNA
Source: RNAcentral